GGUUUUGCCAUAUAUCAACAUGAAUCUGUCACCCCAUUGAUCGUUAGGGUUGAUUCGGCUGAUCUGGCUGGCUAGGCAGGUGUCCCCUUCCUCCCUCACCGCUCCAUGUGCAUCCCUCCGGAAGCUGUGCACUCGGUCGAAGAGGAUGACCAUCCCCCAUAGAGGAGGACCGGUCUUCGGUCCAAGGGUAUACGAAUAGCUGAGCUCCCGGCUAGAACCUCCAAACAAAUCUAAUUCUCUUU
This 242-nucleotide small RNA is filed under the name Bos indicus x Bos taurus (hybrid cattle). Its description in RNAcentral is "7SK RNA (ENSBIXG00000005703.1)". It matches the Rfam family "7SK RNA", at positions 1 to 248 of the family's 331-position model. From Rfam's summary of the family: 7SK was discovered as an abundant small nuclear RNA in the mid-70s but a possible function has only recently been suggested. Two independent studies have found that 7SK RNA binds the CDK9/cyclin T complex (known as elongation factor P-TEFb). The record is from RNAcentral. Lineage: Eukaryota; Metazoa; Chordata; Mammalia; Artiodactyla; Bovidae.